Acinonyx jubatus (cheetah) is the source of this 8433-nucleotide long non-coding RNA. RefSeq lists it as uncharacterized. NCBI's taxonomy places the organism in Eukaryota, Metazoa, Chordata, Mammalia, Carnivora, Felidae. The transcript is spliced from 5 exons. The record is from RefSeq and is a predicted model, not a curated record.
CACCCAAAUGCCUGUUUUCUGCUCCCCCUGGGAGGUGACUGUAAGUGUUAGGGAGGGGUCAGCUCAAAGGUCCCAAGGCCUGGGGAGGACAAGUUAUGGUUCAAGCGAACACCGAACAUCUCCCAAUAAGCCCUGUCCGCUCAGGCUGGGCAGACGGCGAGGAGGGAGCCAGCCUGGUCCCUGGGGGAGUCUGCACCUAUGUAUCUGUUCUCCUCAUGUAAACUAGGAGACCCCUGUCUACUGUCGGGACUGGACAAGCCCUGGAACAGAGUGUUUCCUUUAGCUUCCAGAUUCAGUGUCCACAUCAUUGACUCCAGGAAAAUCUGUUCAUCUGAGUCUACACGUGCAGGCAGCGAACAGACGUCCAAAUCCCAAUGUUUCUUUGUUGAGCACGGGCUCACGCUGUAGCGGAACCCUCGGCGUAUGGGGUAGUGCCACGGGGAAGCCAUCUUACAGGAAGAGAAAGACAAGAUGGGUGGAGGAAGCCGCUAGGAAAGCUCCUCUCUAUGGCUCAGUGUUCUGUAGAAGAUGGAAGUAAAAUGGGUGCAUGUGGACUCUGCCGUUAGCCUGCCUGGGACUUUGUGACCGUCCGUCACCGUGGCGACUGUGACAGCCUCUGAGGCCAGUUAGGCCACAAGAACACAGCGGUCUCUCCAGCUCCCGCGCACCUUCAGAUGCACUCAUUCACGCAGCAAAGUGGACGUGCCUGCCCAGACAGCCGGAGUGAAGAUAGUUACUGGGCCCGAGGGAGAAAAGCCCCACCAUCUCUGGGACAUUGUCGCAGGCCUGUGGGAAUGUAAGUUAUUAAAUGGAAGCAGCCCCGUCCUCACUGUGACUCAGAUAGGUAGCACGAUGUGUGCCCCAGCUCGUCCCGGGGCCGCGUCUUCAGUGUGAGCAACGCCAAGGCCUUAGCGACCUAUUCCUGAGCCCUGUGGCUGUAGGGGCAAGGGGGGCCCAGCGGAUCCGGCCAGCUCAGCGCUGCAAGCAGGCCCAUUCCCAGCCGCCCGCUGUUUGUGAAGCAGCCCCGUAGAGAGAGCGCAGGGGAAAAACAGUCCUCUUAUCUGAGCAGAGGGCAUUCACCAGUUGCCAGAGUGAUCUGGUCUGAGUGCUUGGCGGCAGGUGGCCGGAGGAGGAAUCAUGAUGCGAACUGGGAGGUCGGAGUGGACACGGAACAGCGAUUAACGGUCGCUAUUCCUUUGUCAGGCUCUCUCUUGGUCGGCGGGGGGCUCUCAACUUGAGCUUGCUUGGCAGCGUAGGGUUAGGGAUUCCAGACACUGAGCUUCCGCAGUGGGAAAGUCCGCCCCCGCUCACGGGGAGCGCUUCCAUUUACAAGGCCGAUGCUCUGGUUUUAUUUCAAUUUUCUGCAACAUGAAAAACACUGCACAUGGGAAAGAAAACGCUUCAUCAUUAUGUAUUUGCCCACUAAUGACGCAUGCUGGUAAUGCAAUCUGGUUGAAGCAACAGAAACAUUAAAGAAAGAACUGUCCAUAAUUAUGUAUGUGCAUGUAGAUAUGUAUCUAUAAAUAGAUAAUAGCUUAGAUCUCUCUCUCUCUCUCUCUCUCUCUCUCUCUCUAUCGAUCGAUCAAUGUAUCUAUAUACCCAAAAGCAGCUGCAUGUUUUACAGAUUAAGUAUCCAACUGGUCAAGGGCAGUUAAGCUUAAUUAAUGUGAACUUAGCCCCUUAAGUUAAUGACCUCUCCUCUGGAGCUGAGUGGGGACCGGGAAAGGAAGCUGUUUAAUAGCUAACUUGAUGGCUAAUGCUUUCUUACUGUACCAUUUUCUAGAUUGUUUUCAUACUAACAAUGAAGUAUUGUUUUGAUUUCUUUCUUAAUCAAGAGUUAACACAUUUUCUUGUUUUGUUUUGUUUUGUAGAACUAAACAAGUCAUUCAUAUAGCUUUUCCUGGAGAUUUGAGUUUUUUGUUUCUUUUCGUUUUUUGUUUGUUAGCUUAGCAGUAAACAUUUGGCUUAGCAUUUUUUCUUUGGCCUGUAACCCCAAAAGGAAACACAUUCCUGUUGGAUUACCUACACUUUGAUUUUGGUGAAUACUAUUUCAGCUAAGGUGAGGGAAAAGUCUGUAAAGAGGUCAGUGAAAGCCCAGGUUCCCUGGCCCCCAAGGCUGUUUUUAGUAAUAAGAGUAGAGCUUACAGAUCUGGCUUCUGCACUUAACAUCUGACAGAAUUAAGAAUCUUCUUUAGGUGCCUAAUAGCCUGUCAGGGAGGGACCUUAAAUCUCAGAAUUUUAGGCAUUUAAAUGUAUUUAUUGAUUUAAAUUCAGUUGUGGGAAAACGAAGGGAGAAUUCUCUUUAGAAUCAUGCGACCACCAAUAAUAAAUAUUUUUUAUAACACUUUACUGAGGUAAAUUUAUUUAUUUAUUUAAAACUUUUUUUAAUGUUUUAUUUAUAUUUGAGAGAGAGACAGAGCAUGAGUAGGGAAGGGGCAGAGAGAGACGGAGACAGAAUCUGAAGUAGGCUCCAGGCUCUGAACUGUCAGCACAGAGCCUGAUGUGGGGCUUGAACUCAUGAACCACCAGAUCGUGACCUGAGCCAAAGUCAGACGCUUAACUGACUGAGCCACCCAGGCACCCCUACUGAGGAAUUGUCACAGAAAUUGCAUUGGACCCACAGAUCAACUCAGGCAGACUUGACAUCCUAAUAAUAUUGAGUGUGUCUAUUCCCAAAUGAGCCUCUGGCAACCACAUUUCUACUUUCUGGCUCUAAGAAUGUGACCACUCCUGGUGCCUCAGGUAAGUAGAAUCAUACAGUAUUUAUCCCUUUGUGUGUGUUUCAUUUCACUUAGCCUGAUGUCUUCAAUGUCCAUCCGUGUUGUAGCAGGGGUGAGAAUUGCACCCCUUGCUAAGGCUGAAAAACAUUCCAUUGUACGUGUAUUUCACACCUUGUUUAUGUACUCAUCUGUCAAUGGAAAUUUAGCUUGUUUCCGUCUUUUGUCGAUUGUGGAUGAUGCCCCGUGGACUUUGGUGUUGAGUAUCUGUUUGAGUCCCCGUGUUCAAUUCUUUUGUUUAGAUUACUGGAUCGUAUGGUAAUUCUAUGUUUAACCUUUUUGGGGAUGUAAAUGGCAUUUUAGACUUUUAUUUUUUCCAUUGUUUUUAUUGUCAUUUAGAAGUAACAUGGAUUUUGGGGGUGUUGACUUUAUACCCCACCACCUUGCUAAGUUCACUCACCGGUGCUAACCUAUUGUAGAUUCCUUUGGAUUUUCGACGUGGACAAUCACGUCAUCUUUGACUAAAAACAGUUUAGCUUUGUCUUUGCUAAUGUGUAUGCUUUUUAAUUUUUUCCCUUAUUUCACUAGCUAGGACCUCCGGGGCAAUGUUGAGCCAAAAUGGUGAGAGUGGAUAUUCUUGCACGCUUAAUCGUAGGGGAAAGGAAUUCACUAUUUCACUACUGUUAUGUCAGCUACAGAACUCCUUUGUCGGAUUGAAGGAGUUCCCUUUAUAUUCCCAGUUUGCUAAGGAUUUUUAUUUUUUAUUAUAUUGUCUUUCUUAAAUGUUUACUGAUUUAUUUAUUUUGAGAGAGAGAGAUGGAGAAUGCAAGCAGGAGAGGGGCAGAGAGAGAGGGGAGAGAGAGAGAAUCGUGCCCUCAGCGCGGAGCCCAACUCCGGGAUCAAUCUCAUGAAAGUUCGCGCUAUUCUUAGAAACAGUUGAGCCGGUGGUGGAGUCUCAAGGCUCUGGAAUCUUUUCUUUCGUGUGGCGACAAGUUCUUUUUCCUGGGAAGGCUCAGUGGUGCUUUUCUUGGGCUCAGCAGUGCGGCUGAUGCGGCCUGGACUGUGUAGACAAGAGGCGCGGGGAGGACACACACGACCCUUUGGAACUGACGCUGGACGGGCGUCGAGGACGGGCCAUCCUUGGGCAGCUACUCUAGAGCUCCUAAAGUGGUGUUUGUUCAACUACCCUGAACUUUUGUGGAAGGCCAGAUGCGGGCACUGCGAUAAAAGUGCUGAAGUAGAGUGAUAAAACUUGUAAUUUAAAAAUUCUUUUUACCAGGCCAUGUUGCUAAGGUUGUGUUUUGGUAAAAUAAACUGCUUUUCCUAGGGUCGUAUGGAAUGAAAGCUUCAUUCAUCCGGAUUUGGUUGAGCACUUACUGUGUGCGACCCAAGGUUAUUUAGCGUGUGGUUUUUGUUUUCAAGAAGAAAUAAGACACGCGCAUGAAUUUCUAGCAUAAAAAUAACCAGGGAACACUAUUACCCAAAGGCCGUUUGCAUGUUGAGCUAGGAACUUUUCAAAAUGAUUCAACGUGAAGCAAUGUUUGCUUCUGGAGAUGUUUGGAGUUCUCUCUAAUAAAAAUCAAAAAUUAAGUAAAAGUUAACAAAUUAAAAAAAAAUUGAACAGGAAAAAACCCCUGUGGAGUGCAGCCUAACUGGGACUUUAAAUGAAUAUUUAUAACCUUUGUUGCAUCCAUUAGAAAAUGAGAAAGACUAAAACUCAUGAGCUAAGUGCUCUACAGAAUACGGUAAAAAAAAAAAAAAAAAUUAAAAAGCAAGCAGAAAGAAUGCAGAAGGAAGGAAAUCAUAAAGAUAAGGUUAGCAAUUAAUGAGCUAGAAAACAAAGUAAUAACACAGAAAAUCAACUAAACUAAAAACUAGUUCCUUGAAAAGAGUGAUAAACACUUCUGGUGAAAAUGACCCAAGACAGGAGGAGGCAUGAAAGAGACAUGACGUAGCUACAGAUGGAGAUUUAAGAACCUAUCUGAGAAUAAAUAUUGUGGAUGAGUUCCUGACAAUAUGUUGGGAAACUUCCGGGGAAAUUGGACAAUUUCCUAGGGAAAUGUCAAUUACAAAAAUGUAACGAAACCAAAAAGACUGAAUAUACCACAAAAGAAGUGAAUCAAGUUAAUCAUCUGUGGCUUUCCCCUGGCCCCGUCCCCUCUUUAGAAAACAAGCCAGACACAGCCAAGAUUACAAAAUCUUCAAAGAACAGAUAAGCACUACUUUGUAUAAAUGUUUCUGAAGAAUGGAACCAGAACAACUCCCCACAGCACUUUAUAUGUAUGAUCUUGAUAACAACACUGAGCAAGGGAGAUAAAACAAAGUGAAAUCAUUGGCCACAUACGAACAUGAAUGUAAUGAUCUGAAAUAAAAUGUUAGCAAACUAAAUCUAUCAAAAUAUUAAAAAUUUUUUUUUUUUUUUUUGUCCAACGGGUAUUUAGUCCUAGUGGUGCAGGUGAUCUUAUAAUUUACCUCAUUACAACAGAAAACGAACUGGAACAAAGAUUCAGUUAGAGGUAACAUUUCUUAGAACCAGUGGUCGAGUCCAUUGGUAAUUUUUUUCUCUAUUUUUUUUCCCCGAAUUGUUGAAAAUGACACAACUAAACCUUUUUAAUUUCAGAAAACAAAGAGAAAAGGCAAAAUCCAAAAUUUAAAUACAUGAUGACUGGCAGUGCUCUAUGAAUCUUUUCCAUAUUCGUUGGCUUCUGCCCUAGAAAAUGUUCACUUGAUAAUUUACUUUGCUUGUAAGACUAAAGAAACUGAAGGGAACGUCUUCGUGGCUUUGGUGGUUCAUAAAAUGUGUGAUCACUUUUGUGAUUGGUAUUUUAUUUUUAAUUUUUUAAGUGUUUUAUUUGUUUUUGAAAGAGAGACAGAGCGCAAGUAGGGGAGGGGCAGAGAGAGAGUGAGACACAGAACCCGAAGCAGGCUCCAGGCUCUGAACUGUCAGCACAGAGCCCAACGUGGGGCUUGAAUCCACGAACCGUGAGAUCAUGACCUGAGCUGAAGUUGGACGCUCAACCGACUGAGCCACCCAGGUGCCCCUCUCGGGGUGGACUAUUGGGAAAAAGGCAUCCCUGUCGACUGAUGUAGGCAAUGACCACAGCUUGGCAAGGAAGCAGGGCUGGGUUUGGACCCCUGCUUGUCUCUCGCUUUGGAACUUUUUAAAAAAGUGUUUUAAUUAUUUAUUUUUGAGAGAGAGAGAGAGAGAGAGAGAGCAAGCAGGGGAGAGGGGCAGAAAGAGAGGGAGACCGAGAAUCCAAAGCAGGCUCCAGGCUCCGACUCAAACCCAUGAACUGUGAGAUCAUGACCUGAGCUGAAGUCGGAUGUUUAACCGACUGAGCCACCCAGGCGCCCCACUAGCUUUGGAACUUUUAUGUGGCACACAUACUUCCCAAAUGACUGCCGUGCCUGACGGUGCCCUCUUACUGUGUUUGUAAAAAUAUUUUCUUCCUUCCCUCCCUUUUUUCUUUCCUUCUUUCCUUUUUGCUUUAGAAUAAAAAGCCUUACCUUUCUGGUCAUUAUAUUUCAUUUUAUAGUAUGUCUGUUUUUUAGCCGUUCAAGACAGUGGUUGGCCUUUCAUUUGCAUAUACUUGCAUCUCUUCUGCAUCUUGCUACCAGUAAACUUGAUAAACCUUCCUUUUUCUUUGUGCUUCUCAAUUUUCUGAUUCUGACCUUUCCCUCUUUCGAUGAUAUUUAAGUAAAUAUCUUUCAAGCUGAGAACUUAAAUUCUCUCUAACCUUAAGGUUCGAGAAAAUUGACUCUUUAUGAAAACUCCUGUCUGACUGGCUGCAGAGAUUAAUAGAAAAAUUUAAAAAAUGAAAAGAUCCAAGGUGGUAAGAGAUAAAAGUGUAACUUUCUUUAAAGUUUAUUUAUUUGAGAGAGAAAGAGAGAGGGUGAGAUAGAGUGGGGGAAAGAGUGGGAGGAGGGGCAGAGAGAGAGUGAGGGGGAGAGAGAAUCCCAAGCAGGCUCCACACUGUCAGCGCAGAGCCUGAUGCAGGGCUCGAUCUCACCAACCACGAGAUCGUGACCUGAGCUGAUAUCAGGAGUUGGACACGUAACCUACUGAGCCACCCAGGCACCCCACUCCUUAAACUCUUUAAGCUUGUUAACCAUCCAGUGUCUCUGCUCCCAGGGGAUGGCCUUGGUGGCGCCCGCUAAUAUUUGAGUGGGUGCUGGGGUGAGUUGGCAAACAGCCUGGAGGCCUGCAGGGAGCAGACACUGGGCUAGAUGCUCUGUCAUUUAAUGUUCGGGUCAAUCCUGGGAGAUAUCACUCCCAUGUUACAGAGAGGUAAACUGAGGCUCCAAGAGGGGUGUGAUCUGUCCAACUUCUAAGCGGCAGGUCUCCUGGUUCCCAGACAUGAGACCACUUUCACUCAUCGGAGUAUUUGGCCCAUUUAAGUUCACUUUUGUUUACUUUUGACCCGUUCUUGAGACUUUGAUGUGCCAAACUGGAAGGAAGUGCUCAUAUUGUCAACACAGUGACAGUAAAGUCAUCUAUCACUACCCCCAGCACUGCCCCCAGAUUCAGGACAGAGCUGUCUUUAUUUGUGACAGGUGAUGAUAUUUUGAGUACAGUAUGAAAUGAAGGGGGGAAAGAGCUUUCUGAGGGCGAAAGCUUGGAGAAGGCUGAAAAAUGUCUGGGAAGAUGGUGUAAAGGUUGGAUGGAGAUAAAGAUUGUAUUUUAUCUCUGGAGUUUUAAGGAAAUCUCUUCUCUUGAAGCGGGCUCAUUUGAGUCUGAUCCCACCAGCGAUGAGAUGAUGUAUUCUCAGAGUCUCACGAGCCCUAACUGCUCUUGAAGAUGAUUCUCCCCUAAUCUGUGAGAAAAAAGAACCAGGAUGGGGGCCGGACUCCAACACAAAGGCCAGACACUUUUUAGGAGUGUGGGAGGGGUGCUUCUUUUAUGUUUUUCUCUUUUAUGUCUAGGGAAUGAGGUUUUUCUAGUGACCUGGAGUGCCCUGCACAGAAUAGAUUGUCUCCUCAGUUUUAAGUUUUUCCUUAACUACCCUUCUGUCCUGCAGUUAUUAAUGUGACUCCAUCCAGCGUUCGCCAAAACUCAAAUUGAUUAUAAGCCAUUGACUGGGACCUUUCUGUCUGCCCUGCUCCCCUGGGAAUGUUGGCCAGCCAGAGGUUCAAAACCGAUAAGUGUGUUGGUGCUGAGUGGGUCAGCGAUUUUUUUUUUCUGGUGUGGACUCAAGGUCCUGGGUUCUCCUUCAGUCUUUUUGGGAUGUAGGAGGGAAGAACCAUCCUUAACCUUUGGGCUGAUGGUGCGACCUUUCCUCAACAGAGACUCAGUAAAACAGAAGACACUCUUCCAGCCAAGGUUGGAGGCUGGCUAGCCGUGUGGGACAAGAGGACAGCAGGAGAAGGGACAUGUGAAUUGGAUAAAUCUGUCAAAUUUCGGUAUUUCCAGUUUCCUAGCUGUUUGUUUCUUUGUUUGUUUUUAAUGUUUAUUUAUUUUUUAAUUUUUUUAAAUGUUUUUCUUUAUUUUUGAGACAGAGAGAGAGAGAGACAGAGCAGGAGCAGGGGAGGGGCAGAGAGAGAGGGAGACACAGAAUCCGAAGCAGGCUCCAGGCUCUGAGCCGUCAGCACAGAGCCCGAUGUGGGGCUCGAACUCACAGACUGUGAGAUCAUGACCUGAGCCAAAGUUGGAUGCCCAACAGACUGAGCCACCCAGGUGCCCCAGUGUUUAUUUAUUUUUGAGGGGGGGAGGGAGAGA